This is a non-coding RNA of Ataeniobius toweri, 99 nucleotides long. Lineage: Eukaryota; Metazoa; Chordata; Actinopteri; Cyprinodontiformes; Goodeidae. The record is from the annotation of a GenBank genome assembly.
GGUGUGGUGCCGGUGCAGCGGUAGAGCACGCGGCCCCCUAUGUAGAGAGGCUUCGGCCCUCGACGUAGCUGUCCCCUGGUUCAAGUCCUGGCCACGACG